GAAAUGCGAUACUUGGUGUGAAUUGCAGAAUCCCGUGAACCAUCGAGUCUUUGAACGCAAGUUGCGCCCGAAGCCACUAGGCUGAGGGCACGUCUGCCUGGGUGUCACGUAUCGUGUUGCCACCGACCACUCACUCCUAGAGGAGAUGUGCUGGUUUGUGGGCGUAAAUUGGCCUCCCGUGCCUUGUCGCGACAUCGGUGGUUGUAAAAAGACCUUAUCUUGUCGUGCGAAUCCCUGUCACCUUAGAGAGCUCCAGGAUCCUUAGGCGCCACACAUUUUGUGCGCUUCGAAUGUGACCCCAGGUCAGGCGGGACUACUUGCUGAGUUUAA
RNAcentral lists this unclassified non-coding RNA (330 nucleotides) under uncultured fungus. RNAcentral's name for it is "sequence contains ITS1". The stretch from base 1 to 107 matches the Rfam family "5.8S ribosomal RNA", at positions 50 to 154 of the family's 154-position model. The record is from RNAcentral. Lineage: Eukaryota; Fungi.